GGCUGAUCCAAAGGUAAAGAGUUAUCUCACUUGAUUGUUCACAGCCAGUUACAGGUUGAACUUUUUGUUCUACUACUUUCCCCCUUCCUCACUACCAAACUUGACAACUCUGAA
This 114-nucleotide non-coding RNA is filed under the name Microcebus murinus (gray mouse lemur). The record is from RNAcentral. Lineage: Eukaryota; Metazoa; Chordata; Mammalia; Primates; Cheirogaleidae.